AAAUUUCCAAAUCCCGUACCCGUUUAUCGUUCAUCUUUAUCCAUAUUCCAUUCAAAAUUUAAAUGGUUAUCUCCGUCAAACGAUCCGGGCGAAGAUUGGGGAAUUACUCCUCUUAGCCAACCUUAAUCACUUUGACCCCGCAUUUGAACUCCUCACAUCGACUUCUACCUUAUUCCUUGUUAAACGCCGCCACAUCACCACCACACACCGUCACAGCGCCACCGUCUGCCACAACGAACCAGGGUCGCCACCACGGAUCACCACUCGCAUCCCGUUCAAUUCGGUUUGAUUCGAGAUCAGACGUGCGUAAACCAUGAAUAACCAUUGUUAUUCACCUCGAUUCAGUUAUCACCAUUUGGCAACUGAGGUUCGCGUACUCGUUAAAGACAAUUUGUUGUGGCUUUGCUUUGCUAAAUUAAGGUAACAUGGGAUGAUCUGGGAUUUCAGUGAGCGGCGUUAGGAAGUUGCUGGUCAAGAUUCUUUAUUUCAGUAAUGUAAUAAAUGUAAUUAGGAUAUUUUAUUUAAUGUUAUGGAUUGGUUUUUAGUUUUGAUAUCUAUAAGAGUGACACGUCAGCCCUAGCGGGGUUGGGGUGUUAUAAUUUAUCU
Molecule: long non-coding RNA, 606 nt
Filed under: Helianthus annuus (common sunflower)
Lineage: Eukaryota; Viridiplantae; Streptophyta; Magnoliopsida; Asterales; Asteraceae
Source: RNAcentral